This is a long non-coding RNA of Heterocephalus glaber (naked mole-rat), 1940 nucleotides long. NCBI's taxonomy places the organism in Eukaryota, Metazoa, Chordata, Mammalia, Rodentia, Bathyergidae. The record is from Ensembl.
CUCAUUUUGGCCCCACACAAGGGCUAAACUCCUCACCACACAAGACUUCCACAGCCCAGCCUGCCCUCGGUCACCCUUGCCCACGCAGUCUGCAGGUGCUACGACAAGGACCUUCCCCUCGGCCUUGUGGCCCCAUCCAGGAGUGCCCCUUCUCUUUCAGACCGAGCUUGCCAGUCACUUGGCUCUCCCAGAAGAAAAGGCAUGGGGGUGGUCUGUGGAACAGAAUGCUCUCUGCCCCUGGGAACCUGGCCAAAGCAAAGGUUCUGACCUCUGGUGGACUCCUGAGCCCUCAGGUUUCUCAGCCAGCCUCCUGAGACACUGAUCCUACAGGCUGCAGUCUGGAUACAGUGGCACAUGUCUGUCAUCCCAGCACUCAGGAAGCUGAACCAGGAAGAUCAUGAGUUUGAGUCCAGCCCCGGAAAAAAAAAUUAUAUAGAGAGUGAGCGUGUGUAUAUCUACUUAAAAGAAUCUACAGUGCUGCUACUGAUGGGCAUUACAGAGUCUGGUCACUGGUUUUUUUUCCCCCCUUGGAUUUUGUUUUGUUUGUGGUAGUGAGCAUUGAACCCAGGAGCUUCACACUGAUCUACAUCCCUAGCCCUUUUUGAUUCUGAGAUAGCUAUCACUAAGUUGCCUAGGCUGGGCUCGACCUCCUAGCCUGACUCUGGUACUGUUUUGCUGGUGACAGAAAGCUGAGACACCCAGGAGGACUUUGUCCUCCCCUACUCCUGCAGGCUAGGGUUUAGUACAGUACUUUGUGCUUCUAAAGCAGUAUACUGGAAGAUGUCUCAGCACUGUUUAUAACUGGAUACUUGGGAAGGGAGGGGCAGCCAUGGAACAGGAAAGGAGACUCACAAAUCUUUUUUUUUUUUGGUACCGGGGAUCGAACUUGGGUCCUUGCGCUUGCAAGGCAGACAGUGGAACCACUGAGCUAAAUCCCUGGACUGAGGCUCACAAAUCUUAAACUGCAGUGAAGAUGCUCUCAGGGCCAUAGAAAGCAAUGAUUUUCUUAGCUUAGCGAGCAUUUGGCUUGCCUGCCUCAGCAUUUGACCCAGGUGGGAUGGUUUCAGGUCUCACACCAAUGAGACAAUCUAAACCACUGCCUCUUUCUCUUCUCUCUGGGGCACAGGUGCUGAGGAAAAGUAAACUGGCAGUAGUGUAACUGCAGAACACAAAUCCAGUGGCCCCGGGCAAGGCCAUGUGGGUGCACGUCAGGACUUUGUUUUCAGCAUUCCCUUUUGCAGCCAGGGCUGUGGGAAUGAGUAUUAGGUGAAAUGCCAGUUUCAUGGUUCAGGUGAAAGUCUUUGAUCUUGCCCUUAUUUGGCUUGUCAUUCAUAUUGUCCUGGCCCUUCACAGAGUUCUUUCUUUCCUACUCAGUGCCACCUGAACCCUGAUACCUGCCCUGUGCCUCUUUGAUGGGGUCCAGCCUGGUUCCCAGCCUCAGUUGAGCUGCUGUGCUGUGCCCAUCACUGAGAAGGCCCACUCGGUAUUCCUCAUGCCCUGUGCUAACAUUUUCUAUGUAGGGGACAGACAGAAAUGUUUCUCAUUUUUAGUUCAUUUUUAGCAGAGGAAAUAUAACAUAUUUUUUCUUUUUGAAGGAUAGAAGUUAUUUUUAUGUAGUUUCCAAACUUUACAUAAAACUUUUGUAAAAUGUUCUCUGCAAAGUUAACUGAAAGAAUGUAAAUAUGCUUCUAAUAAAAUAACCAAGCAGUUUGCAUUGAGGUGGUUCAUUUAUUUAUUUAUUUGAGGUGCUGGUGAUCAAACUCAGGAUCUUGUGCUUUCCAGGCAGUCAUGGUGCCACUGAGCUAAAUCCUUGGUCCUAAAGGAUGCUUACACUUACAUGUGUGCCCACCAAGCAAGGGUUUAUCCUCUCAGGUCAGACUGUGGGUUUCUGUUCUGCUUUACAGAGGGAGAUGCGGAAGGAGAGAAAACGUAUGUGUGUG